GUUGGUCUGAGUCUUCAAAAUCAUUUUAUUCCUUUCAUUGUAACAUAUAUUUGACAUAGGAAAUAUUUAUUUUUACAUCCUUUUUCUCUCUAAAAUCCUUAUACAAACAUAGGUCUGAGUCUUCCACACAAAUUGAUCUUUCUUAGGAUCCAUAACCAGAAAAAAAAAGGUCCACUUCGGGUCAUCUAUGCCCAAACAUCAAACCUAAUCUGAGUACUAUAAGUGUUAAAAUGCAUAGAGAUGUCUAUGAAUACAUUUGCUACAGAGUUGAGGACAAAAUUAACUUGCUUCAGAAUCUCCCACAAAGAAGGGUUGUGUUGGUGCUGCUAUGUCUUGCUUCUAGUUAAAAUACUAGGACUACUAUUGACAAGUGACUAUUGAGCUGCUGCUGCUUCUUCAUGAAUUUCUCCUUCUUCAACUGGACUGAAACUCACUCGUUUUUGAAAAUUCAAAUUCAGCCAAUAACAUUAGCUUAAUUUCACAUUACUUAAUAACAUUAUUCUAUAUGAUUU
This 512-nucleotide long non-coding RNA is filed under the name Lathyrus oleraceus (garden pea). RNAcentral describes it as "Pisum sativum (pea) long non-coding RNA (PSAT_LNC010547)". Lineage: Eukaryota; Viridiplantae; Streptophyta; Magnoliopsida; Fabales; Fabaceae. The record is from RNAcentral.